Molecule: non-coding RNA, 2538 nt
Organism: Callithrix jacchus (white-tufted-ear marmoset)
Lineage: Eukaryota; Metazoa; Chordata; Mammalia; Primates; Cebidae
Source: RefSeq, a predicted model, not a curated record
CACCGCGCCGCGAACAUCCCCAACAUUCCGGAGUCGCCCACUAUGCAGACCGCAGCGGGUACACCCCCGACGUAGUGACCGUUCCUGGGACGCCACCAUUGCGCCACAGACCUCGCGGACGCCGUCAGCGCCUGGGACCCCCGCCUCCGAACCGAUGACCGCACCACGGAUGUCCCCGACCAGCAUACCGCGCCGCCGAUGCCACUGACCUUUUGAGUGGCUGGGAAACCGCCGAACCGCUAACCGUGCUGUGGAUGCACCAGACCAGCUUACUACAUCGCCUACAUUCUUGACGGACCGACCGUGCCGCCAUGCAUUCCGCGCCUGGGAUGCCUUCGACGCACCGUAGGUGCUGUGGUCGCGCCACUGACGUCACUGAUGCGCCGACGACGCUGACGCCAUGGACACCCCCCUCCACGCCACCUACACGGAUCGCGCCUCCAACACCGCUGACGCAGUCGAAGCGGGGACCGCGCCACCAACGGCACUAACCUUGUGAGCGGCUAGGAAGCCGCUGAACCGCUAACCGCGCCGUGGAUGCACCCGACCAACUUACUGCAUCGCCUACGUUCUGGACGCGCCGACCGCGCCGCCAAUGCAUUCCGCGCCUGGGACGCCUCAGACGCACCGUAGACGCCGGGGUCGCGCCGCUGACGUCACUGACGCGCCGACCACGCUGACGCCAUAGAACCCCCCAUGCCCCCCCCGCCGACACCACCUGCGCGGAUUGCGCCUCCAACGCCGCUGAAGCAGUCGAAGCGCCACCGACGGCACUGACCGUGUGAGCGGCUGGGAAGCCGCCGAACCGCUAACUGCGCCGUGGAUGCACUCGACCAGUUUACUGCACUGCCGACAUUCCCGACGCGGCGACCGGCUGCUGAUGCCAUCCGCGCCUGGGACGCCUCCGACGUACCGUAGAUGCCGCCGUCGCGCCGUGAUGUCGCUGAUGCGCCGACCACACUGACGCCAUAGACACCCCUGGACACCGCCGGCGCGGACCGCGCCUCCGUCUCUGCUAACGCAGCCGAAGAGCGGACCGCGCCGCCUACAGCACUGACCCUGUGGGUGGCUUUCCGAACCGCGCCAAUGCCAUCCGUGCCUCGGACUCCGGCCACGCACCAUAGACGCCUCCGACUGCCGCUGACGCUGUCAGCGCCUGGGACACCGCCAAUGAAGCUACUGUGCAGGAUCUUAGUGCAACACUGCUCUGCAGACUUGGAUCAGGGCAGAGUGAGGUAGCGGAGGAGCUGUGCCAGCAUCUACAGCGAAAGGAAAAGAUGCUGCAGGACCUUCUGAGUGAUCGACACAAACGAGUGGUGGAACACGAAAUGGAGAUUCAAGGCCUGCUUCAGUCUGUGAACUCCAGGAAGCAGGAAAGCCAAGUGGUAUCUCCUUCUGUCACCCCGGCUGGAGUGCAGUGCCGUGAUCUCAGGUCACUGCAACCUCUGCCUCCUGGGUUCAAGCAAUUCUCCUGCCUCAUCCUCCCAGGUAGCUGGGAUUACAGGUAUGCACCACCAUGCCCAGCUCAUUUUUGUGUUUUUAGUAGAGAUGAGGUUUCACCAUUUGGCCAUGCUGGUUUCCAGUUCCUGGCCUCAAGUGAUCCAUCCACCUGGGUCUCCCAAAGUGCUGAGAUUACAGGCAUGAGCCAUGAUGCCCUGGCCAGGAGUAAAUUCUUAAGUUUUUCUCAUUUCUGUGUUUUUUCUCCUCAAAUCUAAAGUCUCUUAGUUGUCGUGUGCUGCGUUUCAAAGACCACUAACUCAGAAUCUCCCUAGUCAGGUUUUAGAGGAAGAAAGACUCUUGCCUAUGUUAUUUGACCCCAUAAUAAUUUUUUAUGUUUCCUUAUAUUGUAAGGGGAUUAUCCUCCACUGUUCUGAUGGUUAGCCCCACUGAAGUACCAAAUUGUGAGGAUACUCUCAGUGCUGUCAUUGUGAUCAUAGUUCCUGCAUCUUCCUAAGUCCUUCAGUUUUUUAGGGUCCAGUGCAGAUACCUUCCAGAGAUGAUAGUCCUUUAUUGACUGCCAAAGAAGAUGCCAGCAUACCCAGAUCCACAUUAGGAGACUUGAACACAAUGGCAGGGCUGGAAAAAGAACUGAGUAAUGCAAAAGAGAAACUUGAACUCACGGCUAAAAAUGAAAGAGAAAGUCAGUUGGAACUUUCUGCUCUACAGUCCAUGAUGGCUGUGCAAGAAGAAGAGCUGCAGGUGCGGGAAGAAGAGCUGCAGGUGCGGGAAGGGGAGCUGCAGGUGUGGGAAGGAGAGCUGCAUGUGUAGGCUGCUGAUAUGGAGCCUCUGACCAGGAAAGUACAAAUUAAAGAAAACCUCAUAAAAGUCCUUCCAGACUUUUUACAGACCAUUGGAAAUGUUCACAUCUCAGAUUACCUGUAGGGCAUCUUCAGACAGUAUUUGCACACAUUGAAUCCCUUGCCCAGUGCUUACCAAUAUCUCACCUGAAAGUAUAGGCAGACUGUUUCAAGAACAUUUGUUCCUGUGCUCAUCAACUGAAGAAUACUUUUAUUACUAUUUUCAUGUUUACACUUACUU